This 434-nucleotide ribosomal RNA is filed under the name uncultured bacterium. RNAcentral describes it as "partial 16S ribosomal RNA". It matches the Rfam family "Bacterial small subunit ribosomal RNA", at positions 29 to 507 of the family's 1533-position model. The record is from RNAcentral.
AGCGAACGCUGGCGGCAGGCCUAACACAUGCAAGUCGAACGAACCUUUCGGGGUUAGUGGCGGACGGGUGAGUAACAAGUGGGAACGUGCCCUUAGGUUCGGAAUAACUCAGGGUAACUUGUGCUAAUACCGAAUGUGCCCUUAGGGGGAAAGAUUUGUCGCUUCUAGAGCGGCCUGCGUCUGUUUAGCUAGUUGGUUGGGGUAAUGGCUCACCACGGCGACGUUCAGUAGCUGGUCUGUGAGGAUGAUUAGCCACAUUGGGACUGAGACACGGCCCAAACUGCUACGCAGGGCAGGAGUAGGGUAUCUUACGGGAUGAGCGAAGGCCUGACGCAGCCGUGCCGGGUAUAUGGGGAAGGGCGUAGGAAUGUAAAUUUCUUUCUCCGGAGGCGAGAGUGACGGUAACCGGAGAAGAAGCCCCGGCUAACUACGUG